GUGGGAUUGGCGCAGUUGGUAGCGCAUUAGUUUGUGGCACUAAGGGUCAAGAGUUCGAGCCUCUUAUCCCACCCCA
RNAcentral lists this transfer RNA (76 nucleotides) under Clostridiales bacterium. RNAcentral describes it as "tRNA-His". It matches the Rfam family "tRNA". From Rfam's summary of the family: Transfer RNA (tRNA) molecules are approximately 80 nucleotides in length. Their secondary structure includes four short double-helical elements and three loops (D, anti-codon, and T loops). Further hydrogen bonds mediate the characteristic L-shaped molecular structure. tRNAs have two regions of fundamental functional importance: the anti-codon, which is responsible for specific mRNA codon recognition, and the 3' end, to which the tRNAs corresponding amino acid is attached (by aminoacyl-tRNA synthetases). tRNAs cope with the degeneracy of the genetic code in two manners: having more than one tRNA (with a specific anti-codon) for a particular amino acid; and 'wobble' base-pairing, i.e. permitting non-standard base-pairing at the 3rd anti-codon position. The record is from RNAcentral. Lineage: Bacteria; Bacillati; Bacillota; Clostridia; Eubacteriales. RNAcentral also lists the same sequence under 1 other name.